Molecule: ribosomal RNA, 497 nt
Filed under: uncultured bacterium
Lineage: Bacteria
Description: partial 16S ribosomal RNA
Rfam family: Bacterial small subunit ribosomal RNA
Source: RNAcentral
GAUGAACGCUGGCGGCGUGCCUAAUACAUGCAAGUCGAGCGAACAGACGAGGAGCUUGCUCCUCUGACGUUAGCGGCGGACGGGUGAGUAACACGUGGAUAACCUACCUAUAAGACUGGGAUAACUUCGGGAAACCGGAGCUAAUACCGGAUAAUAUAUUGAACCGCAUGGUUCAAUAGUGAAAGACGGUUUUGCUGUCACUUAUAGAUGGAUCCGCGCCGCAUUAGCUAGUUGGUAAGGUAACGGCUUACCAAGGCAACGAUGCGUAGCCGACCUGAGAGUGUGAUCGGCCACACUGGAACUGAGACACGGUCCAGACUCCUACGGGAGGCAGCAGUAGGGAAUCUUCCGCGAUGGGCGAAAGCCUGACGGAGCAACGCCGCGUGAGUGAUGAAGGUCUUCGGAUCGUAAAACUCUGUUAUUAGGGAAGAACAAAUGUGUAAGUAACUAUGCACGUCUUGACGGUAGCUAAUCAGAAAGCCACGGCUAACUACGUG